This 253-nucleotide ribosomal RNA is filed under the name uncultured bacterium. RNAcentral describes it as "partial 16S ribosomal RNA". It matches the Rfam family "Bacterial small subunit ribosomal RNA", at positions 524 to 776 of the family's 1533-position model. The record is from RNAcentral.
UACGGAGGGUGCAAGCGUUGCUCGGAAUCACUGGGCGUAAAGAGCGUGUCGGCGGUUUCGUAUGUCUGGCGUGAAAGCCCCGGGCUCACCCCGGGAAGUGCGUUGGAAACCGCGAGACUAGAGGCCCGGAGAGGAAGGUGGAAUUCCAGGUGUAGCGGUGAAAUGCGUAGAUAUCUGGAAGAACACCGGUGGCGAAGGCGCCCUUCUGGACGGUGACUGACGCUGAGACGCGAAAGCGUGGGGAGCAAACAGG